CCUACGAGGGGCAGCAGUGGGGAAUAUUGGGCAAUGGGCGCAAGCCUGACCGAGCAACGCCGCGUGAAGGAAGAAGGCUUUCGGGUCGUAAACUUCUGUUCUGAGGGACGAAGAAAGUGACGGUAACUAAGUAAUAAGCCACGGCUAACUACGUGCCAGCAUCCGCGGUAAUACGUAGGUGGCAAGCGUUAUCCGGAUUUAUUGGGUGUAAAGGGCGUGUAGGCGGGAAAGCAAGUCAGAUGUGAAAACUCAGGGCUCAACCCUGAGCCUGCAUUUGAAACUGUUUUUCUUGAGUGCUGGAGAGGCAAUCGGAAUUCCGUGUGUAGCGGUGAAAUGCGUAGAUAUACGGAGGAACACCAGUGGCGAAGGCGGAUUGCUGGACAGUAACUGACGCUGAGGCGCGAAAGCGUGGGGAGCAAACAGGAUUAGAUACCCCGGUAGUC
This 443-nucleotide ribosomal RNA is filed under the name uncultured bacterium. RNAcentral describes it as "partial 16S ribosomal RNA". It matches the Rfam family "Bacterial small subunit ribosomal RNA", at positions 338 to 795 of the family's 1533-position model. The record is from RNAcentral.